This 251-nucleotide ribosomal RNA is filed under the name uncultured bacterium. RNAcentral's name for it is "partial 16S ribosomal RNA". It matches the Rfam family "Bacterial small subunit ribosomal RNA", at positions 524 to 774 of the family's 1533-position model. The record is from RNAcentral.
UACGUAGGGGGCAAGCGUUAUCCGGAUUUACUGGGUGUAGAGGGAGCGUAGACGGCGAUGCAAGCCAGAUGUGAAAGCCCGGGGCUCAACCCCGGGACUGCAUUUGGAACUGUAUAGCUAGAGUGUCGGAGAGGCAGGCGGAAUUCCUAGUGUAGCGGUGAAAUGCGUAGAUAUUAGGAGGAACACCAGUGGCGAAGGCGGCCUGCUGGACGAUGGCCGACGUUGAGGCUCGAAAGCGUGGGGAGCAAACA